CCUGCCUCAUUUCCCACCUAGAUCGUUGCCCGUCCUGGCUCAGAGCUCCCUGAACCUGCAGGCCAUGAAAAGGUGACCCAGGCGUAGAUCCAAAGCAAACAGUCACCUCUAGAGUGUAACACAGGAGGAUCUGUAGCAGAUUUCACAUUGUUUCCUGGUGACAAGGGAACGGGGGCAGCCUGUCCUCAUGUACAUUUCAACUCCUAUCUCGGCAAAGUCAUCUCCACCCCGCUGGCCUCUGCAGUUCCCAGGCACACACCUGGCGACCUCCCUUCUUUCAGGGGUCACCCAGUCCCUUUGCCUCAUGCACCCCACCCCUCUGCUGCCACAACAUGGUGGGGAGUGUGUACAUGUAAAAAAUCUCCCAGAUGUGAGCUGUGGCAGGAGGGCAGGGACUGCAGUCCCCAGCGUCUGCACUGCACCAGGGCUUGGAGAACAGGCUGGGGUGGCCCUCACUCACCUCCUUCCAGAAGAUAAACAGGGUCCCACUGAUGAUGAUGGCCGCGGACAUGAGGAUCUUCAGGAUGAGGGCUCUGCUGAGGAUGGUGUCCCGCACACUCCGUGGUGGCUGCCUGAAGGCGUCUUUGUCAACGGGCUCUACCCCCAAGCUGCUCCAAACAAGACACAGACACUUUGAAAUGAACCAGGAAUGAAAUAAAGGACCCUUGAAACAGCUGUGCCUGAGCCUCCCAGGCCAAGUUGGCACAGGGGGCAAGGCCAGGCAUUUGCUGAACGCCCCCAGGCAUCGCACCUGCCCUCCUCGGCACCUUCCAGAAGCCCCAGAGCCUGGGUCCAUGGGCAGCUGUGCCCCUCCAUCUGUCCCGCAGACAGUGAAGGAAGACCACCCACUGUCACUGGUGAUAACAGCAGCACUGAGCUCCAGCAGCAGCAUUGGCUCUGUGCUCAUACGGUUACGCACACAUGGCCAGAUGGGUCCCCUGACUCCAAAGCGCAUUCCUUCCCCCAUACCACUUGGCCAGCUUGUUGUGGUGAAGGGGAUAUUAAGUCGCAGAGCGGGUGGACUCCUGAGCACCUACUGAGUGGUAAGCCCUUUAUCUCUAGACAUCAGGGAUGAAAC
RNAcentral lists this long non-coding RNA (1078 nucleotides) under Pan troglodytes (chimpanzee). Its description in RNAcentral is "long non-coding RNA NONPTRT006419". The record is from RNAcentral. Lineage: Eukaryota; Metazoa; Chordata; Mammalia; Primates; Hominidae.